GGCAGCACAGAAGAGCUUGCUCUUUGGGUGGCGAGUGGCGGACGGGUGAGUAAUGUCUGGGAAACUGCCCGAUGGAGGGGGAUAACUACUGGAAACGGUAGCUAAUACCGCAUAACGUCGCAAGACCAAAGUGGGGGACCUUCGGGCCUCACACCAUCGGAUGUGCCCAGAUGGGAUUAGCUAGUAGGUGGGGUAACGGCUCACCUAGGCGACGAUCCCUAGCUGGUCUGAGAGGAUGACCAGCCACACUGGAACUGAGACACGGUCCAGACUCCUACGGGAGGCAGCAGUGGGGAAUAUUGCACAAUGGGCGCAAGCCUGAUGCAGCCAUGCCGCGUGUAUGAAGAAGGCCUUCGGGUUGUAAAGUACUUUCAGCGGGGAGGAAGGCGACGCGGUUAAUAACCGCGUCGAUUGACGUUACCCGCAGAAGAAGCACCGGCUAACUCCGUGCCAGCAGCCGCGGUAAUACGGAGGGUGCAAGCGUUAAUCGGAAUUACUGGGCGUAAAGCGCACGCAGGCGGUCUGUCAAGUCGGAUGUGAAAUCCCCGGGCUUAACCUGGGAACUGCAUUCGAAACUGGCAGGCUAGAGUCUUGUAGAGGGGGGUAGAAUUCCAGGUGUAGCGGUGAAAUGCGUAGAGAU
Molecule: ribosomal RNA, 640 nt
Filed under: Pantoea sp.
Lineage: Bacteria; Pseudomonadati; Pseudomonadota; Gammaproteobacteria; Enterobacterales; Erwiniaceae
Description: bacterial SSU rRNA
Rfam family: Bacterial small subunit ribosomal RNA
Source: RNAcentral